AUAACAAGGUUUCCGUAGGUGAACCUGCGGAAGGAUUUAACACGUAUCCAACGUUAAACCCCCUGUGAAUUUUAAGUCCUGCUCCGGAAUCUUUUCAAACAGCAAUCUCAGUAAAUCAUUGUUGAACAGUUUUGAUUUGGGACCUCUGUUUGGAGAGUGAACGUUGAGACGGUUGAGAUAGGGGCGUGGCUUCCCGAAUCAAUCAUCAAAUGAAAGCGUUGAUGAUUGUGUAAGGAUAACGCCUCGGACAUGCCUCAAGGGCGCAUGUAGCGAAAGCCGCAGGUGCAAAAAACGAACAACAGUUCUUGGUUCUC
RNAcentral lists this unclassified non-coding RNA (314 nucleotides) under fungal sp. Its description in RNAcentral is "partial internal transcribed spacer region". The record is from RNAcentral. Lineage: Eukaryota; Fungi.